Molecule: ribosomal RNA, 253 nt
Filed under: uncultured bacterium
Lineage: Bacteria
Description: partial 16S ribosomal RNA
Rfam family: Bacterial small subunit ribosomal RNA
Source: RNAcentral
UACGAAGGGGGCUAGCGUUGCUCGGAAUCACUGGGCGUAAAGCGCACGUAGGCGGCUUUUUAAGUCAGGGGUGAAAUCCUGGAGCUCAACUCCAGAACUGCCUUUGAUACUGGGAAGCUUGAGUCCGGGAGAGGUGAGUGGAACUCCGAGUGUAGAGGUGAAAUUCGUAGAUAUUCGCAAGAACACCAGUGGCGAAGGCGGCUCACUGGCUCGGUACUGACGCUGAGGUGCGAAAGCGUGGGGAGCAAACAGG